Homo sapiens (human) is the source of this 610-nucleotide RNA transcript. It is a transcript of the gene named GUSB pseudogene 17, with no coding region annotated. The record is from RefSeq and is marked validated. The transcript is spliced from 4 exons. NCBI's taxonomy places the organism in Eukaryota, Metazoa, Chordata, Mammalia, Primates, Hominidae.
CAGGUUCUGCUUCUUUGGUGUAGUCCUGAAGCUUCCUAAGAAACUUCACAUCAGGUGAUGGAUAGGAGCAACCCUGUAAAACCAGCCUUAGACUAUUUUUCAAACAGGCUGGUGAAUUACCAGAUCUCCGUCAAGUGCAGUAACCAGUUCAAGUUGGAAGUGUGUCUUUUGAAUGCAGAAAACAAAGUCGUGGACAACCAGGCUGGGACCCAGGGCCAGCUGAAGGUGCUGGGUGCCAACCUCUGGUGGCCGUACCUGAUGCACGAACACCCCGCCUACCUGUACUCGUGGGAGGAUGGUGAUUGCUCACACCAAAGCCUUGGACCCCUCCCAGCCUGUGACCUUUGGGACCAACUCCACCUACGCAGCAGACAAGGGGGCUCUGUAUGUGGAUGUGAUCCGUGUGAACAGCUACUACUCUUGGUAUCGCAACUACGGGCACCUGGAGUUGAUUCGGCUGCAGCUGGCCGCCCAGUUUGAGAAUUGGUGUAAGACAUCACAAUCCCAUUAUUCAGAGCGCGUAUGGAGUGGAAACGCUUGUAGGGCUUCACCAGGUAAGCGGUGUUGAACUUUCUGCUUGUGUAUUCUCUCUGGGCAGAGAUGCCACUUG